CGGGGUGAGUAAUGUCUGGGAAACUGCCUGAUGGAGGGGGAUAACUGCUGGAAACGGUAGCUAAUACCGCAUAACGUCGCAAGACCAAAGAGGGGGACCUUCGGGCCUCCUGCCAUCGGAUGUGCCCAGAUGGGAUUAGCUAGUAGGUGGGGUAACGGCUCACCUAGGCGACGAUCCCUAGCUGGUCUGAGAGGAUGGCCAGCCACACUGGAACUGAGACACGGUCCAG
RNAcentral lists this ribosomal RNA (229 nucleotides) under uncultured bacterium. Its description in RNAcentral is "partial 16S ribosomal RNA". It matches the Rfam family "Bacterial small subunit ribosomal RNA", at positions 104 to 334 of the family's 1533-position model. The record is from RNAcentral.